GCCACUGCGGGGACCACCGCGACGCCGCCCCCUGGAGAAACGGGACCGCUGCCUGGCAGCGCUCGCCGGGCCCCUGGUACAAUAAAUGUGAGCCCCUUACCCGCUCGCCGCCGUCUCUCCUCGCGAAGCACAUCCAGAGGCGACGAGACGGCGCGGCCGGCCUCCGCUCAGGCCAGCUCUCUGGUGGGUUUCGCUCCCCAGUCAGGUCGGAAGGCUGGGGGCUAGAGCGCUGAAAUGCUCCUGAGCAGGCGCGACGGUGCUGGCAGCAGCUGAGGAGAUGGAAGAGCCGGAGAAGAAAAAUCUUGAAGAGAAAGAAGCCAUUGAAUCCACACCUUUUCGGCUUCGUCAGUCGGAAUGGCCACCUCACUCUCCCAGCGGCGCACGAUCCAAAACGGCGGCGCAAGGUCCAAGAUGGCCGCUCCCAACAUAAGGAAACGACGUUGGCGCGGCCAUGUUGUACGGCAAUCAUUCUGCCAGGCACCUGAAUCUAAUGCUCACUUCCCAAGGGGCCUUGACGUCGGGUGUGGAGGUGGCCCGUCCCCGACGUCAGCGGAAGUGGCGUAGGAAGCUUGGCUUCCCCGGACUCGCGGUCACAAUAUUGGCUUUUGAGGUUCCGUCAGAUUUCCGCGAGCGGCUUUAAGAAUCCCGCGUGGUGGGAAUUCCAGGACUUAAGAUGUGGUUUGUGGGCUUAUUGUCAUUCAGUGACGUGGCUGUGGAUUUCACCUGGGAAGAGUGGCAGCUUCUAGACACCGUUCAGAAGGACCUCUACCGGGAUGUGAUGCUGGAAAAUUACAGCAACCUUAUGUCCCUGGGUAAAGACAACUUUCCUAAUAACCGCAGCAUAUGCCCAUUAAUUGCCUGUCUUUUUUCCAUUGCAACAAUCUAUGGGUACUUGGAUGCCCUCAAUGAUUUUGAACUUGGACUAGUAUUGGUAGGUGACAGAGCUGAUUUUAUUAUCUUACAGGGACUGUACUUAAUUUCAUUUUCCAAUUAA
Molecule: long non-coding RNA, 994 nt
Filed under: Sus scrofa (pig)
Lineage: Eukaryota; Metazoa; Chordata; Mammalia; Artiodactyla; Suidae
Description: lncRNA (ENSSSCG00055018579.1)
Source: RNAcentral